RNAcentral lists this ribosomal RNA (253 nucleotides) under uncultured bacterium. RNAcentral describes it as "partial 16S ribosomal RNA". It matches the Rfam family "Bacterial small subunit ribosomal RNA", at positions 524 to 776 of the family's 1533-position model. The record is from RNAcentral.
GACGGAGGGUGCAAGCGUUAUCCGGAAUUAUUGGGCGUAAAGAGCUCGUAGGCGGUUUGUCGCGUCUGCUGUGAAAACUGGAGGCUCAACCUCCAGCCUGCAGUGGGUACGGGCAGACUAGAGUGCGGUAGGGGAGAUUGGAAUUCCUGGUGUAGCGGUGGAAUGCGCAGAUAUCAGGAGGAACACCGAUGGCGAAGGCAGAUCUCUGGGCCGUAACUGACGCUGAGGAGCGAAAGCGUGGGGAGCGAACAGG